GGAGAGGUGGCCGAGUGGUCGAAGGCGCUCCCCUGCUAAGGGAGUAGGCGGGAAACCGUCUCGUGGGUUCGAAUCCCAUCGUCUCCGCCA
This 90-nucleotide transfer RNA is filed under the name Escherichia coli. RNAcentral's name for it is "tRNA-Ser". It matches the Rfam family "tRNA". Rfam says of the family: Transfer RNA (tRNA) molecules are approximately 80 nucleotides in length. Their secondary structure includes four short double-helical elements and three loops (D, anti-codon, and T loops). Further hydrogen bonds mediate the characteristic L-shaped molecular structure. tRNAs have two regions of fundamental functional importance: the anti-codon, which is responsible for specific mRNA codon recognition, and the 3' end, to which the tRNAs corresponding amino acid is attached (by aminoacyl-tRNA synthetases). tRNAs cope with the degeneracy of the genetic code in two manners: having more than one tRNA (with a specific anti-codon) for a particular amino acid; and 'wobble' base-pairing, i.e. permitting non-standard base-pairing at the 3rd anti-codon position. Lineage: Bacteria; Pseudomonadati; Pseudomonadota; Gammaproteobacteria; Enterobacterales; Enterobacteriaceae. The record is from RNAcentral.